RNAcentral lists this ribosomal RNA (254 nucleotides) under uncultured bacterium. RNAcentral describes it as "partial 16S ribosomal RNA". It matches the Rfam family "Bacterial small subunit ribosomal RNA", at positions 524 to 776 of the family's 1533-position model. The record is from RNAcentral.
GACGUAGGGCGCGAGCGUUGUCCGGAUUUAUUGGGCGUAAAGAGCUCGUAGGCGGCUUGUCGCGUCAACUGUGAAAACCCGUGGCUCAACCAUGUGGUCUGCAGUCGAUACGGGCAGGCUAGAAUUCGGUAGGGGAGACUGGAGUUCCUGGUGUAGCGGUGAAAUGCGCAGAUAUCAGGAGGAACACCGGUGGCGAAGGCGGGUCUCUGGGCCGAUAUUGACGCUGAGGAGCGAAAGCGUGGGGAGCGAACAGG